This is a non-coding RNA of Balearica pavonina (black crowned-crane), 92 nucleotides long. NCBI's taxonomy places the organism in Eukaryota, Metazoa, Chordata, Aves, Gruiformes, Gruidae. The record is from Rfam.
AGCGCAGGAGCUGCUGCCUCGCACAGGAGCAAGUUACCGUGUUCAGCUAACCUGCAGUAACUUGCUCCUGUGAGAGACAGCGGCUCCUGGCU